UAUAUUUUGUUGGUUAUCCCGUCGUUUGCUGGUUAUGUGAUUUUUUCGAAAUUUAAAAAUCUGAUGCCAAAAAUGCCGUCAAAUGGCAAUAACAACAGCAACGAUGGCGCAUCGGCGUCGACGAAUGAAACCAAUAGAAAAAGAAGAAAUAAAAAGCGUUGAAUGUGAUUUAUUCGGUUUUUUGUUUCUU
RNAcentral lists this non-coding RNA (190 nucleotides) under Pessonella sp. PRA-29. Lineage: Eukaryota; Discosea; Flabellinia; Vannellidae. The record is from RNAcentral.